This 73-nucleotide transfer RNA is filed under the name Cricetulus griseus (Chinese hamster). It matches the Rfam family "tRNA". From Rfam's summary of the family: Transfer RNA (tRNA) molecules are approximately 80 nucleotides in length. Their secondary structure includes four short double-helical elements and three loops (D, anti-codon, and T loops). The record is from Rfam by way of RNAcentral. Lineage: Eukaryota; Metazoa; Chordata; Mammalia; Rodentia; Cricetidae.
GGAGAGAUGGCUCAGCAGUUAAGAGCAAUGACUGUACUUCCAGAGGACCUGGGUUCAAUUCCCAGCCACUCCA